CCUACGGGAGGCAGCAGUGAGGAAUAUUGGUCAAUGGGCGCAAGCCUGAACCAGCCAAGUCGCGUGAGGGAUGACGGCUCUAUGGGUUGUAAACCUCUUUUAUAAGGGAAUAAUAUGCUCUACGUGUAGCGUUUUGUAUGUACCUUAUGAAUAAGGAUCGGCUAACUCCGUGCCAGCAGCCGCGGUAAUACGGAGGAUCCGAGCGUUAUCCGGAUUUAUUGGGUUUAAAGGGUGCGUAGGCGGUUUUUUAAGUUAGCGGUGAAAUCCUGGGGCUCAACCAUGGAAUUGCCGUUGAAACUGGAGUACUAGAGUACGGAUGAGGCAGGCGGAAUACGUGGAGUAGCGGUGAAAUGCUUAGAUAUAACGUAGAACCCCGAUUGCGAAGGCAG
RNAcentral lists this ribosomal RNA (389 nucleotides) under uncultured bacterium. RNAcentral's name for it is "partial 16S ribosomal RNA". It matches the Rfam family "Bacterial small subunit ribosomal RNA", at positions 338 to 724 of the family's 1533-position model. The record is from RNAcentral.